AGUGAAGAAGGCCUAUCGGGUUGUAAAGCUCUUGCGGCGGGGAAGAAAUGCGGUGCUUAAUACCGUGAUGUGGAUGACGGUACCCGAAUAAGAAGCACCGGCUAACUACGUGCCAGCAGCCGCGGUAAUACGUAGGGUGCGAGCGUUAAUCGGAAUUACUGGGCGUAAAGCGUGCGCAGGCGGUUUCGUAAGACAGACGUGAAAUCCCCGGGCUCAACCUGGGAACUGCGUUUGUGACUGCAAGGCUAGAGUUUGGCAGAGGGGGGUGGAAUUCCACGUGUAGCAGUGAAAUGCGUAGAGAUGUGGAGGAACACCGAUGGCGAAGGCAUUUCCCUGGGCCAAUACUGACGCUCAUGCACGAAAGCGUGGGGAGCAAACAGGAUUAGAUACCCUGGUAGUCCACGCCCUAAACGAUGUCAACUAGGUGUUAGGGAGGGUUAAACCUCUUAGUGCCGUCGCUCACGCG
This 466-nucleotide ribosomal RNA is filed under the name uncultured bacterium. RNAcentral describes it as "bacterial SSU rRNA". It matches the Rfam family "Bacterial small subunit ribosomal RNA", at positions 404 to 859 of the family's 1533-position model. The record is from RNAcentral.